UUAAAUUGAAGAGUUUGAUCAUGGCUCAGAUUGAACGCUGGCGGCAGGCCUAACACAUGCAAGUCGAACGGUAACAGGAAGCAGCUUGCUGUUUCGCUGACGAGUGGCGGACGGGUGAGUAAUGUCUGGGAAACUGCCUGAUGGAG
This 146-nucleotide ribosomal RNA is filed under the name Escherichia coli. RNAcentral describes it as "partial 16S ribosomal RNA". It matches the Rfam family "Bacterial small subunit ribosomal RNA", at positions 1 to 138 of the family's 1533-position model. The record is from RNAcentral. Lineage: Bacteria; Pseudomonadati; Pseudomonadota; Gammaproteobacteria; Enterobacterales; Enterobacteriaceae.